ACCGAGAGCGCAUUAAGGAGCCCACCGGGCGGGGAGGCAGCUUCGUUACUGUCCCCGCCACGCUGGCCAGGAACGUCUCUGGCCCGGGAGCGUCUCUGGAGAACCGGAGAGUCAGGAGCUGCCGGGGAGGGGGUUCGGGGGUACACGCCACUGGCCCUGGUCCGAGGGUCCCCUGCCCCCCACCGCUCUGUUCCGGGGCCCCUCCUUCUUCCUGAUCCUGUCCGGGGCCCCUCCCCCCUCCCGGGCCUGCCUGGGGCCUCUCCCUCCCCCUCUACCCCUGGGUCCCCUUCCUAGGGGUCUGCGCCUGGGUGCUUUGGCAGCGUCCCGGCGCGGGGCUCUGGUGGCCACGGGGCGCCAAGGAAAGAAAGUCCCUCGCAGAACUGGCAGGAAGCUGGUCGGGCCGGGCGGAGGAGACGCGGGGCGCAGACGCGCACCCACAGCUGCCUGGAGUCGCCCGCACGGCGUAGGAGGGGGCGGGGCUGAGCCAACCCCUGUGUAUUAGACAACUCCUUGGGCGACCAGAGGACGCACGCUGGCUCAGGGCCACCCUGUGCACUGCGGGGUGUCCGGCGCCGGGAUUUAGGAGGGUAACUCCGCCCAGAGGUCUCGGAAGUGUGACUCAGGGUCUGAGGGGCCUAGGGCGCACCCACCCAUAAGUCCUGAUGACCCACCACCCAAAGGCGGAAAGAGCCACCUUUCCAGAGUGUCUGCAGGAAGCGCAGUUCCGGGUGUGGUGGGGGACACACCUAAGAACUUGCUGGGCUCCCGGAGGGGCCAGAAUGUGUGGAG
This 789-nucleotide long non-coding RNA is filed under the name Heterocephalus glaber (naked mole-rat). RNAcentral describes it as "lncRNA (ENSHGLG00000049568.1)". Lineage: Eukaryota; Metazoa; Chordata; Mammalia; Rodentia; Bathyergidae. The record is from RNAcentral.